This is a long non-coding RNA of Coturnix japonica (Japanese quail), 925 nucleotides long. RefSeq lists it as uncharacterized. The record is from RefSeq and is a predicted model, not a curated record. Lineage: Eukaryota; Metazoa; Chordata; Aves; Galliformes; Phasianidae.
AGUUAAAAGAACAUAUGUACAUGUAUAUCCCCAGAGCAGACUGCAAACAUGUUUUUAGAAGUACACAAGAAGACAUCUAUUUCAUAGGUCAAACCAAAGGAAUCUGGCUUUUAUUGUUAAAGGACUCGAGGGAACACAUGUACUGCUGUCGGCUUCUCUCCACACCCACUCUGUGAGAUGACUACAGAAUCAUUUUAUUGAAGAAUGAAGACUACAUAAUUCAAGCAAUGGGGUCAAAAGCCUGAUGUCUACAGGGAAAGUGCAUUGGUUUUACUUCAGCUGCAUUUUAAAUCUUGGCUUUAAAGCCUGGUUAAAUAAUUAGGUCAAAUCAGUGCAACAUUCCCAUGUAACUAUGGCCUUAAAAAAGGAUUUUGAAGAUAAAUAUCUCAGUUAAAUACUUAAGCUGCAGUCUGAAACCUAUUGAAGUCAAUGAGACAGGAGAGAAAGCUGCCAGCAAGACACACUCCGAAGUACCUUUCUGAAUCAGUGGCUUCAUUCUGUUCUAAGGAUCAAACCUCCAUUUCAGUGAUUCAUCUCAGGAUCAUGGUGCUUUCUUCUAUCUGUCAGCCACAAAGCCUACAAGACAGAGGACAGUGCUGUAAAGGCCUGGCUGCAGGAGAAUGCUGCAGGAAGCUGAAGAGAGCAGAUUUGCAGAUAUACAUUCCAUUACAAAGAUCCUGAGGAGUUUCAGCAGUUAGUGUCAACUUUUCACUGCACCAGACUAAAAGAACAGACAAAAAUGGAAAUCUUCUAUAGUGCAACAAGCUCUGCUCAAAGCUCAUCCAGCAGCCAGUUCAGUACCUUGGCAUUUGUUAAAAGCUUUUGCCCCUUCUUUAAUACAUGUUCCCUGAGACACCACUGAAAAGCCACGAGAGCUCCUGGAGCUUGGUGAUGUAUGCUGGGGUGGCCACUGGUCCAUCACUGG